Molecule: long non-coding RNA, 2282 nt
Filed under: Marmota monax (woodchuck)
Lineage: Eukaryota; Metazoa; Chordata; Mammalia; Rodentia; Sciuridae
Source: RNAcentral
GGGGUCUUGUCUUAUGUGCACAUGAGUCAGGGCAGUGUGCAGGAAAGCACCAUGCAUGCUCCAUAAAGUCUAGCCCCUUCACCACAAAGGAAGCAAUCAAGAGCAUGAAGAGAGAGCCUACAGAAUGGGAGAAAAAUCUUUGCCACCUGCACCUCAGAUAAGGCAUUAAUUCUCAGGAUAUACAAAGAACUCAAAAAAGCUCUAACAUGAAAACAAACAAACAAAACCAUCACCAAAUAAUAAAUGGGUAAAGGAACUAAACGUCUCAAAAGAAGAACUAUGAUUGGUCAACAAAUAGACAAAAUAUGUUCAACAUCUCUAGUAAUUAGAGAAAUGUAAAUUAAAACUACACUGAGCCAGGAGGUGUAGUGCAUGCCUGUAAUCCCAGAAGCUCAGGAGGCUGAGGCAGGAAGAUCAUGAUUUCAAGUUUAGCUUAGCAACUUAGGGAGACCCUACCCAACUAAGGGAGACCCCAUCUCUAAAUAAAAUAUUAAAAAGGGCUGGAGAUGUGGCUUAGUAGUUAAGCACCCCUGGGUUCAAUCCCGAGUACAAAACGAAACAAAACAAAACAAAAAACUACACUAAGAUUUCACUUAACUAUAACCAGAACGACAAUUAUCAAUAUAAGUAACAAUAAAUAUUAGCAAGGAUAUAGGGAUAAGGGUAUACUCAUACUUCGUUGGUGGGACUGCAAAUUAGUGUAACCACUCUGGAAAACAGUAUGGAGAUUCCUUCAAAAACUAGUAAUGGAACCACCAUUUGAUCCAAUUAUCUCACUCCUCCCUAUAUAUACAAAGGAGUUAAAAUAAGCACACUAUAGUGAUGUAGCCACAUCAAUGUUUAUAGCAUCUCCAUGCACAAUGGCUAAGCUAUGGAACCAACCCAUCAACAGAUGAAUGGAUAAUGAAAUUGUGGUAUACACAAUGGAAUAUUACUCAACUAUAAAGAAGAAUGACUUUAUGACAUUCACCAGUAAAUGGAUGGAUCUGGAGACUAUCACGCUAAGUGAAAUAAGCCAAUCCCAAAAAAACAAAGGUCAAAUAUUUUCUCUGAUAUGUGCAUGUUAACCCACAAUAAAGGGGAAAGAGGGGAAGAAGGAAGUUCAGUGGAUUAGUCAAAGGAGAGUGAAGAGAUGGGAGGGGAGAUAGGAAUAAGAAAGUGGAAUGAAUCUGACCUAACUUUCCUAUGUACAUAUAUGAAUAUACCACAAUGAAUCUCACCAUCAUGUACAUUCACAAUACAGGGAAUAAGGUAUAUUUCAUGCUUAUAGAAAUAUAUCAAAAUGGAUUCUACUGUCAAGAAUAACUAAAACAACCAAACAAACAAACAAAAAAAAAAUACAAGGGAAAAAAAAUCCAGUCCCUGUUAGAUUUUGGUAGCUUGUCAUUUAAUCCUUGUAACAUCCCAGAGAAAAAGAUGUAUUAGCCUUAUUGUUUAAAUGAAGAACUGAGGCAGAGAAACCUCACAAGUGCACAUGGCCCUCCAAUACUGCUUAGGUCCAACAGAUUCCACACCCACCUUCUUGGUCAUGCCUUCCCUCCAGGUGGAACCCAAAUGCAUUUUCUGCUCCAAUUCCCACACAUAGACCUUACACUGGUUGUCCAGAUGGGCUUUACACAGACAGCUCCCUGCUACUAGCACCCCUCUUCUUUUUAAAGGUCCCCCACUUGAUUUCUCCAAAACUCAGAAAAAAAACUACUUUGUAUGUCUUCCAAAGAGCGAUUGGCCUGACCAUCAGGAGGUCUGUGGGCUUCCUUUCUCCCUGAGGAAAUACCUGCAGCACCUUCUACCAAACUCCCUGCACCUGACACGUUGUUAUUCAAUUAAAGGGUGGUUCUCUUGGGGAAUCCCCCAACAAGGGAAGCCACAAGGACAUGCCACACCCAUAGAAAUAAAGUUGAGGUAGAUCAGGACUGAGUGGGGAUGUGAAGGUCACAUCCUAGAGGGUUGCUCUUGAAUCCAGCCCAGAUCCACUUUGCACAUCUCUAGCUGCCCCUGAACCCAGAAUAAUGCUACAUGGUGGACCCAGACAUGAAGGGUUUAAAUGUCCUGAAAGGAAGGCUCUGGGUUGGAUCAAUCCCUAGUACCAUAAAAAAACAAACAAAUAAAAUAAAAGUCCGGGAAGUGUUUUCAUUUUAUAACGGCUUAUUGUUUGUCUUCUGAAUAUUUUUCACAGAAGACUUGAAUGGAAGAAAACAGGAAAGUGAAAAAUAAUGGUGAUUCUACCACCUGGAGAUACUGUGGGGCAAACACAUCAUUCGAUGUUUUCUGCAAAGUCUUAU